This 389-nucleotide ribosomal RNA is filed under the name uncultured bacterium. RNAcentral describes it as "bacterial SSU rRNA". It matches the Rfam family "Bacterial small subunit ribosomal RNA", at positions 28 to 417 of the family's 1533-position model. The record is from RNAcentral.
GACGAACGCUGGCAGCGUGCUUAACACAUGCAAGUCGAGCGGUAAGGCCCUUUCGGGGGUACACGAGCGGCGAACGGGUGAGUAACACGUGGGUGACCUGCCCUCAGCUCUGGGAUAAGCCUGGGAAACCGGGUCUAAUACCGGAUAUGACUCCAUGACGCAUGUUGUGGGGUGGAAAGCCUUGUGCGGCUGAGGAUGGGCCCGCGGCCUAUCAGCUUGUUGGUGGGGUGANGGCCCUACCAAGGCGACGACGGGUAGCCGGCCUGAGAGGGCGACCGGCCACACUGGGACUGAGACACGGCCCAGACUCCUACGGGAGGCAGCAGUGGGGAAUCUUGCGCAAUGGGCGAAAGCCUGACGCAGCGACGCCGCGUGAGGGAUGACGGCCU